GGUUAAGCGACUAAGCGUACACGGUGGAUGCCCUGGCAGUCAGAGGCGAUGAAGGGCGUGCUAAUCUGCGAUAAGCGCCGGUAAGGUGAUAUGAACCGUUAUAACCGGCGAUACCCGAAUGGGGAAACCCAGUGUGACUCGUCACACUAUCAUUAACUGAAUCCAUAGGUUAAUGAGGCGAACCGGGGGAACUGAAACAUCUAAGUACCCCGAGGAAAAGAAAUCAACCGAGAUUCCCCCAGUAGCGGCGAGCGAACGGGGAGGAGCCCAGAGCCUGAAUCAGCAUGUGUGUUAGUGGAAGCGUCUGGAAAGGCGCGCGAUACAGGGUGACAGCCCCGUACACAAAAGCGCAUGUGCUGUGAGCUCGAUGAGUAGGGCGGGACACGUGGUAUCCUGUCUGAAUAUGGGGGGACCAUCCUCCAAGGCUAAAUACUCCUGACUGACCGAUAGUGAACCAGUACCGUGAGGGAAAGGCGAAAAGAACCCCGGCGAGGGGAGUGAAAAAGAACCUGAAACCGUGUACGUACAAGCAGUGGGAGCCCCACCACCAAAGCAUUCUCUGGUGUUGAAGGCCCUGCAAAGCAGCAUCGCGGUGGCGGAGCGUCGUUUGCGACGCCCAACACACAAAACAAGCGGUGAGUGCUUUGGGGUGGGGUGACUGCGUACCUUUUGUAUAAUGGGUCAGCGACUUAUAUUCUGUAGCAAGGUUAACCGUAUAGGGGAGCCGUAGGGAAACCGAGUCUUAACCGGGCGUUAAGUUGCAGGGUAUAGACCCGAAACCCGGUGAUCUAGCCAUGGGCAGGUUGAAGGUUGGGUAACACUAACUGGAGGACCGAACCGACUAAUGUUGAAAAAUUAGCGGAUGACUUGUGGCUGGGGGUGAAAGGCCAAUCAAACCGGGAGAUAGCUGGUUCUCCCCGAAAGCUAUUUAGGUAGCGCCUCGUGAAUUCAUCUUCGGGGGUAGAGCACUGUUUCGGCUAGGG
This 983-nucleotide ribosomal RNA is filed under the name Salmonella enterica. RNAcentral describes it as "partial 23S ribosomal RNA". It matches the Rfam family "Bacterial large subunit ribosomal RNA", at positions 1 to 924 of the family's 2925-position model. Lineage: Bacteria; Pseudomonadati; Pseudomonadota; Gammaproteobacteria; Enterobacterales; Enterobacteriaceae. The record is from RNAcentral.